GCAAGUCGAGCGGUAACAGGAAGUAGCUUGCUACUUCGCUGACGAGCGGCGGACGGGUGAGUAAUGCCUGGGAAUAUGCCUUAGUGUGGGGGAUAACUAUUGGAAACGAUAGCUAAUACCGCAUAAUGUCUUCGGACCAAAGAGGGGGAUCUUCGGACCUCUCGCCAUUUGAUUAGCCCAAGUGAGAUUAGCUAGUUGGUGAGGUAAUGGCUCACCAAGGCGACGAUCUCUAGCUGGUUUGAGAGGAUGAUC
Molecule: ribosomal RNA, 252 nt
Filed under: uncultured bacterium
Lineage: Bacteria
Description: partial 16S ribosomal RNA
Rfam family: Bacterial small subunit ribosomal RNA
Source: RNAcentral